GAUGAACGCUAGCGACAGGCUUAACACAUGCAAGUCGAGGGGCAGCGGGGUAGCAUACCGCCGGCGACCGGCGCACGGGUGAGUAACACGUAUGCAACUUACCUAUCAGAGGGGGAGUAACCCGGCGAAAGUACGGACUAAUACCGCAUGAAGCAGGGAUCCCGCAUGGGAAUAUUUGCUAAAGAUUCAUCGCUGAUAGAUAGGCAUGCGUUCCAUUAGGCAGUUGGCGGGGUAACGGCCCACCAAACCGACGAUGGAUAGGGGUUCGUGAGAGGAAGGUCCCCCCACCAUU
This 292-nucleotide ribosomal RNA is filed under the name uncultured bacterium. RNAcentral describes it as "partial 16S ribosomal RNA". It matches the Rfam family "Bacterial small subunit ribosomal RNA", at positions 28 to 315 of the family's 1533-position model. The record is from RNAcentral.